AGAAUCAACGCUGGCGGCGUGCCUAAUACAUGCAAGUCGAACGCCAAAGCCCCGCAAGGGGCAAGUAGCGUGGCAAACGGGUGAGUAACGCGUGGGCGACCUGCCUUCGAGUGGGGGAUAACCUUCCGAAAGGAGGGCUAAUACCGCAUGAUAUGCCGUGUUUGGAUACACGGACAUCAAAGCUGGGGAUCGCAAGACCUGGCGCUUGAAGAGGGGCCUACGUCCGAUUAGCUAGUUGGUGGGGUAACGGCCUACCAAGGCGACGAUCGGUA
RNAcentral lists this ribosomal RNA (272 nucleotides) under uncultured soil bacterium. RNAcentral describes it as "partial 16S ribosomal RNA". It matches the Rfam family "Bacterial small subunit ribosomal RNA", at positions 26 to 285 of the family's 1533-position model. The record is from RNAcentral.